GAAGUCCACACAUAUACCAAAAGAAUAGAAAUAUCAGAAACAAUGUUAUAUAUAGCAGAAACAUAUUUAUAAUAACACUUACAAAACAUCAGAGUACGCGGAAACAGAAUCUAAACUUCUUAGGCACCAUUCUUCUCAGGGACGGUUGACUGGGGGCUCCGUACGCCAAGCACUUCUGAUAAGCUUCCAGAAAACUCCAUAGCAUCUUUAUCCUUCUUUUGAGCAACACUUUACUACACACUGGGGGUGUGGGGGAAAUAGCAAGGGUGAGUUCAUGUCAAACUCAACAAGUACAGACGGAAAGUAUAAUGACAUGCAAGACUUAAAAACAAGGUAAAGCUUACUUGGUUGCACUGUAAGUCCCAGGGGGCCGCGCCCUGACUAAGUCCUUAUGGAGAGCAGAGACGGGUACGCCCGGCAAACUGGACCACCAGCAGUACCCGCUCCCCCUGUCAUCACCAUCAUCACGAUGCUCGUAAGCAUCCAACAUCGCCAUCACCGCAGUAACCAAAGGUUCAUCACAGUUUAAGCAACAAGUUAAGUACAGAGUAGUUCUUGUUUAAGCAUGUGUAUAAGAUGAGUAUAGCAGCUAAGCAAACCUAGUAUAGCCUAGACUACCCAUAUACAUAACCCCAGGUGAACAAGGAGUAGUAAGUAAAGCUAGUCAUGUCGUUAGGGUUUGCAUUCAUUGGACACGUGCAUAUAAAGUAAAUGACAUUAAUGAGUAGGUUUAAAAUGAUCAAACGGUGUCUGCACUUGCCUUGAAUCCCAGUGUACAACUGCUCAGAUGUCUUUGGCUUCUUUCUUCUAAUCUCCAACUUAUGCUUCGACUGUCGGUCCUUAGCUCCUGGUCUUCACUGUUGACGAACCACGCUUCUUCUACUCGUAGCAACCAAGCAACACAAACAGACAAACAACAAUCACGACUAAAAACAAGCAUCAAUCAAAAGAAAAGCUUAGAAGGAGCGCACUAAACGACACGACUUAUUGCUACGAUCGUGGCAACGUAAGAACGAUUAAGAACAGAGCUAUCGUUAACGGACACGACUUUCGAGAUUUGCAACAUAACGGAGAACACAAACUAUACGCUUGGAUUAUUUUAUUAGAUGAAUUAUGGUGACAGAUAUUUAGGAGAAAAGUCAUAAUGGAGUUAAACAAAUCAUAAUUAUCAAAGAAGUAGUAUAGUUCUAGUUAUAUUCUAUUUAUGAAUAAUAAUAAAUUAUUUAAGUCAUUUUAUCAUUUAUAGUUUAGAAAAACGUAGGAUUUGUGACAUAUGUUGAACAAGGCAAAUUAAUAAUUAAUAAAUACACAUUUAAGUUGACAAGUAAUUAUAAAAAGGUCAAUAUUUUCAUAGGUUACUUUUAUUUAGAAACAAAUAUGUGCAAUCAUGAAUCAAAUUAUGUUUUAUUUAGAAAGAACCUUUACAUACCUUAAUCAUAUUGUAGUUAUAAACCUUUAACAUUAUUUAAGUCACUUAAAAGAUUUAUGGUUUAGAAACAUAAAACAUGCGACAAAAACAAACAAAAGCAUAGAUGGCUCGAGGUUGAACUUAGUGAGUUAUAUUAGAAAGGUAUUAAUGUUGACACUAAUCAUAUUAGCAUUGUUUAUUAAAGUCCAAACUUAUAUACCUAAAUUGCUUGUAAUUAAAAAGACAUUAGUGUUGGUAUUAAUCAUAUUAUAAUUAAUUUAUGAAAGACCAAUAUAUAAACCUAACUUUAUUUUAUUAAACAUGACAUUAGAUAAAUAUUAUCUAAAUUAAUUACAUGCUUUAACUAAAUAAAUUUUAAUUAAGAAAUAUUUAAACCAAUAUGAAUCGUGCUACUAUUUGUAUAUUUAUAAAAGUUAAAAUUAUAAUCCUAAGUUGCUUUUAAUUUAGAAGAGAAUUGAUUAUUCAUUAAUCAAAUUCGUAUGAUUAAAUUUAUAAACAAAUAAAGGCGCUGCUAGUGCGUAGCUUACAUCGAUACGACCCCGACACAACAAACAAAUUAUAACCCUAGAUUAGUUUUCAUUGGAAAGCUAUUAAAUAAUAUUAAACAAUUGUAUUUAAAUCAAUAAAUUCAGAAAUAAGUUACAUGAUAAAUAUUUAUACUACUGCAUAGAGCGCGGCGAUACGAAACUAACGCAACCAGAACGACUCAAAUCGGAAUUUAAACGAAUAAACAAUAAGGAUUUAAAGUUUGAUGGCAAAACUGUAAUUAUCGUCAUCUUCUACCUUUGACCGGAGAGGAUCGUGACCUCUAUGGCAGCCAUGGUGCGCUGCACCCGCGCCGGAGGCAGGGGCCUCGGCCGCGGACUUGCUGGCCGGCAACG
Molecule: long non-coding RNA, 2310 nt
Filed under: Sorghum bicolor (sorghum)
Lineage: Eukaryota; Viridiplantae; Streptophyta; Magnoliopsida; Poales; Poaceae
Description: long non-coding RNA (SBIC_LNC012719)
Source: RNAcentral